CCUACGGGGUGCAGCAGUGGGGAAUAUUGGACAAUGGGCGAAAGCCUGAUCCAGCCAUGCCGCGUGUGUGAAGAAGGCCUUCGGGUUGUAAAGCACUUUCAGUGGGGAAGAAAGCCUUGGGGCUAAUACCCUCGAGGAAGGACAUCACCCACAGAAGAAGCACCGGCUAACUCCGUGCCAGCAGCCGCGGUAAUACGGAGGGUGCGAGCGUUAAUCGGAAUUACUGGGCGUAAAGCGCGCGUAGGCGGUCUGAUAAGCCGGUUGUGAAAGCCCCGGGCUCAACCUGGGAACGGCAUCCGGAACUGUCAGGCUAGAGUGCAGGAGAGGAAGGUAGAAUUCCUGGUGUAGCGGUGAAAUGCGUAGAGAUCGGGAGGAAUACCAGUGGCGAAGGCGGCCUUCUGGACUGACACUGACGCUGAGGUGCGAAAGCGUGGGUAGCAAACAGGAUUAGAUACCCCUGUAGUC
This 465-nucleotide ribosomal RNA is filed under the name Vreelandella stevensii. Its description in RNAcentral is "partial 16S ribosomal RNA". It matches the Rfam family "Bacterial small subunit ribosomal RNA", at positions 338 to 795 of the family's 1533-position model. The record is from RNAcentral. Lineage: Bacteria; Pseudomonadati; Pseudomonadota; Gammaproteobacteria; Oceanospirillales; Halomonadaceae.